UACAGAGGGUGCAAGCGUUAAUCGGAAUUACUGGGCGUAAAGCGCGCGUAGGUGGUUUGUUAAGUUGGAUGUGAAAUCCCCGGGCUCAACCUGGGAACUGCAUUCAAAACUGUCGAGCUAGAGUAUGGUAGAGGGUGGUGGAAUUUCCUGUGUAGCGGUGAAAUGUGUAGAGAUCGGGAGGAACACCGGUGGCGAAGGCGGGUCUCUGGGCAUCUCCUGACGCUGAGGCGCGAAAGCGUGGGGAGCAAACGGG
Molecule: ribosomal RNA, 253 nt
Filed under: uncultured prokaryote
Description: partial 16S ribosomal RNA
Rfam family: Bacterial small subunit ribosomal RNA
Source: RNAcentral